This 433-nucleotide ribosomal RNA is filed under the name uncultured bacterium. RNAcentral describes it as "partial 16S ribosomal RNA". It matches the Rfam family "Bacterial small subunit ribosomal RNA", at positions 29 to 507 of the family's 1533-position model. The record is from RNAcentral.
AACGAACGCUGGCGUCAUGCCUAACACAUGCAAGUCGAACGAGACCUUCGGGUCUAGUGGCGCACGGGUGCGUAACGCGUGGGAACCUGCCCUUAGGUUCGGAAUAACUCCCCGAAGGGGGUGCUAAUACCGGAUAAUGUCUUCGGACCAAAGAUUUAUCGCCUUUGGAUGGGCCCGCGUUGGAUUAGCUAGUUGGUAGGGUAAAAGCCUACCAAGGCGACGAUCCAUAGCUGGUCUGAGAGGAUGAUCAGCCACACUGGGACUGAGACACGGCCCAGACUCCUACGGGAGGAAGCAGUGGGGAAUAUUGGACAAUGGGCGAAGGCCUGAUCCAGCAAUGCCGCGUGAGUGAUGAAGGCCUUAGGGUUGUAAAGCUCUUUUACCCGGGAUGAUAAUGACAGUACCGGGAGAAUAAGCUCCGGCUAACUCCGUG